GGCGGCAUGCUUACACAUGCAAGUCGAACGGCAGCACGGGAGUAAUCCUGGUGGCGAGUGGCGAACGGGUGAGUAAUACAUCGGAACGUGUCCUGUAGUGGGGGAUAGCCCGGCGAAAGCCGGAUUAAUACCGCAUACGCUCUACGGAGGAAAGGGGGGGAUCUUAGGACCUCUCGCUACAGGGGCGGCCGAUGGCGGAUUAGCUAGUUNGUGGGGUAAAGGCCUACCAAGGCGACNAUCUGUAGCUGGUCUGAGAGGACGACCAGCCACACUGGGACUGAGACACGGCCCAGACUCCUACGGGAGGCAGCAGUGGGGAAUUUUGGACAAUGGGGGCAACCCUGAUCCAGCAAUGCCGCGUGUGUGAAGAAGGCUUCGGGUUGUAAAGCACUUUUGUCCGGAAAGAAAUCUUCUGCCCUAAUAC
Molecule: ribosomal RNA, 424 nt
Filed under: uncultured beta proteobacterium
Lineage: Bacteria; Pseudomonadati; Pseudomonadota; Betaproteobacteria
Description: bacterial SSU rRNA
Rfam family: Bacterial small subunit ribosomal RNA
Source: RNAcentral